AAAGAUCACAAUUUUAUAUUGUUUAUGUUUAGCGUUUGAUCGUUUAUCUUAUUUAAAAAAAAUUUAUAAUUAGUAUUUUAUUGUUAUUAAAUGAUAAAACAUUUAAUACUUUAUGUGUGACUAAUUUUUUUUAUGAUUUUUUAAAUAAGAUGAACAGUCAAACAUUGGAUACGGAAAUUCACAGAUACACUUAAA
This 195-nucleotide microRNA precursor is filed under the name Oryza meridionalis. RNAcentral's name for it is "MIR812 microRNA precursor family". The stretch from base 26 to 195 matches the Rfam family "MIR812 microRNA precursor family", at positions 25 to 205 of the family's 205-position model. Lineage: Eukaryota; Viridiplantae; Streptophyta; Magnoliopsida; Poales; Poaceae. The record is from Rfam by way of RNAcentral.